GCCCUCGUCGUUCAAUGGAUAGGACACCAGGCUUCGAACCUGGUAAUGUGGGUUCGAUUCCUGCCGAGGGCACUA
Molecule: transfer RNA, 75 nt
Filed under: Patescibacteria group bacterium
Lineage: Bacteria
Description: tRNA-Arg
Rfam family: tRNA
About the family: Transfer RNA (tRNA) molecules are approximately 80 nucleotides in length. Their secondary structure includes four short double-helical elements and three loops (D, anti-codon, and T loops).
Source: RNAcentral